GACGAACGCUGGCGGCGUGCUUAACACAUGCAAGUCGAACGGAAAGGCCCUGCUUUUGUGGGGUGCUCGAGUGGCGAACGGGUGAGUAACACGUGAGUAACCUGCCCUUGACUUUGGGAUAACUUCAGGAAACUGGGGCUAAUACCGGAUAGGAGCUCCUGCUGCAUGGUGGGGGUUGGAAAGUUUCGGCGGUUGGGGAUGGACUCGCGGCUUAUCAGCUUGUUGGUGGGGUAGUGGCUUACCAAGGCUUUGACGGGUAGCCGGCCUGAGAGGGUGACCGGCGGCAUGGGGAAUGAGGGACGGACCAGACGAGUACGGGAGGCAGCAGGGGGGAGGAUUGAACAGUGGGCGGGAGCGUGAGGCAGCAACGACGGGUGCGGGAUGACGGCCGGCGGGUUGAAAAAAGCAUUCGCCUGUGACGAAGCGGGAGGGACGGUAACGAAUAAAGAAGCACCGGCUAACUACGUG
This 468-nucleotide ribosomal RNA is filed under the name uncultured bacterium. RNAcentral's name for it is "partial 16S ribosomal RNA". It matches the Rfam family "Bacterial small subunit ribosomal RNA", at positions 28 to 507 of the family's 1533-position model. The record is from RNAcentral.